Long non-coding RNA from Marmota monax (woodchuck), 270 nucleotides. RefSeq lists it as uncharacterized. Lineage: Eukaryota; Metazoa; Chordata; Mammalia; Rodentia; Sciuridae. The record is from RefSeq and is a predicted model, not a curated record. The transcript is spliced from 3 exons.
AGUGAACAAGCGUGUUCCAUGGCUGAACCCUUGGGGGACAGGCCAGGUUUAUUGCAUGGUGCUUAUUUCCUCGGUGCCCCCAGGCUGGCCUGAAACUUGGAAUUCCCCCUGCUUCACUCCUGAGUAGCUGGGAUUACAGGUAAAUGGAUGGAAUUGGAGAAUAUCAUGCUAAUCGAAAAAGCCAAUCCCCAAAACCAAAGGCCGAAUGUUUUCUCUGAUAAGUGGAUGCUGAUCCAUAAUGGCAGAGCAUGGGAAAAAUGGAAGUGCUUU